This 447-nucleotide ribosomal RNA is filed under the name uncultured bacterium. Its description in RNAcentral is "partial 16S ribosomal RNA". It matches the Rfam family "Bacterial small subunit ribosomal RNA", at positions 328 to 792 of the family's 1533-position model. The record is from RNAcentral.
UGCCCAGACUCCUACGGGAGGCAGCAGUGGGGAAUAUUGCACAAUGGGGGGAACCCUGAUGCAGCGACGCCGCGUGGGUGAAGGAGCACCUCGGUGCGUAAAGCCCUAUCGGCAGGGAAGAAACAGACGGUACCUGACUAAGAAGCCCCGGCUAACUACGUGCCAGCAGCCGCGGUAAUACGUAGGGGGCAAGCGUUAUCCGGAUUCACUGGGUGUAAAGGGAGCGUAGACGGCGACGCAAGUCUGGAGUGAAAGCCCGGGGCCCAACCCCGGGACUGCUCUGGAAACUGCGGCGCUGGAGUACGGGAGGGGCAGGCGGAAUUCCUGGUGUAGCGGUGAAAUGCGUAGAUAUUAGGAGGAACACCAGUGGCGAAGGCGGCCUGCUGGGCUUUUACUGACGCUGAGGCUCGAAAGUGUGGGGAGCAAACAGGAUUAGAUACCCCUGUA